CUCCCACUAUUUGGGAGGCUAAGGCAGGAGAAGGGCGUAAACCUGGGAGGAGGAGCUUGCAGUGAGAUCCCGCCACUGCACUCCAACCUGGGGACAGAGCAAGACUCUGUCUCCAAAAAAAAAAAAAAAAAAAAAAAAAGUAACACCUGAAAAAACUCCUAAAUUCACUCUGAGAAAAUAAAAGAUGAAUGAGAAUUUUCAACAAAUAAAAUAUAUAAUUAGAUAUUGUUUUUUGAAAUUCACCUUUUUUUAUGCCCUUUGUAAAUAUUUUCUUACCUUUCAAGCCCUACUAAUAAAAUGCAAUUUACAGUUAAAAAACUGAGGUCAGCCGGGCACAGGGGCUCACACCUGCAAUCCCAGCACUUUGGGAGGCCAAGGCAGGCAGAUUACUUGAGGUCAGAAUUUUGAGCUCAAACAGCACGGUAAACAUGGCAAACCCCCAUCUCUAUUAAAAAUACAAAAAGUAGCCAGGUGUGGUGGCAGGCACCUGUAGUCCCAGCUACUUGGGAGGCUGAGGCAUAAGAAUCACUUGAACUCGUGAUGCAGAGGUUUCAGUGAGCCGAGAUUGCACCACUGCAGUCCAGCCUGGGUGACAGAGGAAAGCACUGUCUUAAAAAAAAAAAAAAAAAAGGGCCGGGCGCGGUGGCUCACACCUGUAAUCCCACCACUUUGGGAGGCUGAGGCAGCCAGAUCACAAGGUCAGGAGUUCGAGAACAGCCUGGUCAAUAUGGUGAAAUUCCGUCUCUACCACAAAUACAAAAAUUAGCCGGGUGUGGUGGUGCACACCUGUAGUCCCAGCUACUCAGGAGGCUGAGGCAGAAGAAUUGCUUGAACCCGGGAGGCAGAGGUUGCAGUGAGCAGAGAUCAUACCACUGCACUCCAGCCUGGGUGACAGAAUGAGACUCUAUCUCAAAAAAAAAAAAAAGAAAAAAAAAACUGAGGUCAAAAUAAGUGAACAAUGCAUUUAAUCAUUUCAAGGUACAGAUAUGUCUGACUCAUGUGUCAAGUCAG
RNAcentral lists this long non-coding RNA (1011 nucleotides) under Homo sapiens (human). Its description in RNAcentral is "HSALNT0257255". The record is from RNAcentral. Lineage: Eukaryota; Metazoa; Chordata; Mammalia; Primates; Hominidae.